AGCUUUUUAGUUUAUUUUAAAAUAUCUGCUUGUGGUGUGGGUGAAGUUGAGCUU
Molecule: transfer RNA, 54 nt
Filed under: Ophidascaris sp. CYZ-2020
Lineage: Eukaryota; Metazoa; Nematoda; Chromadorea; Rhabditida; Anisakidae
Description: tRNA-His
Source: RNAcentral